This 252-nucleotide ribosomal RNA is filed under the name Neocalosoter sp. EN2a. RNAcentral describes it as "partial 28S ribosomal RNA". It matches the Rfam family "Eukaryotic large subunit ribosomal RNA", at positions 694 to 910 of the family's 3401-position model. Lineage: Eukaryota; Metazoa; Arthropoda; Insecta; Hymenoptera; Cerocephalidae. The record is from RNAcentral.
UGGGACUAAUUAAGCCUAAAGGCGCAAUGAAAGUGAAGGUCGUCCUUAGCGUCGACAUAGGGAGGAUGACUCGCGUAGAGAUAUGCGAGUCCGCACUCCCGGGGCGUCUCGUGCUCAUUGCCAGCAGAGGCGCACCCAGAGCGCACACGUUGGGACCCCAAAGAUGGGGAACUUAUCCUGGGCAAGAACAAAUUCAGGGAAAAUCCUGUUGGAGUUCCGAACCGAUUCUGACGUGCAAAUCGAUCGUCGGAU